This 1794-nucleotide long non-coding RNA is filed under the name Homo sapiens (human). Lineage: Eukaryota; Metazoa; Chordata; Mammalia; Primates; Hominidae. The record is from RNAcentral.
UUUCAUACUGCUGUUGAUGAUGUGAAUUUUGGAAAUAUUCUCCCCUAUUGGGUCUUUCUCCAUGACAGAUGAUGUCCUUUGGCUUCGGUUUUUUGCCUAAGAACUGUAAGUGGUGCUUGCUAGCCCUACUAAGAAUCCUGCCAUUGUUGCAAAUUUCAGAAAAAAGGAGGACUGCCUAGUACUGCCAAUUCUGACAGUGAUCUGGCUGGAGUGCAGUGGUGCACACGCCUCACACUGUGACACAGCGGGAGAGCCCAGAGCGACAGCUGUUGGAAUGACUGCACUCUUCCUGCUCAAGUCUGACCUUUCCAAGGUAAUGGUGCUCAGAAAAAGAAGCCAAUCAGGAGAUCUGUUUUCUGUGCCCUUUUAACACUUCUAACUCAGGCACCCAAACCAGCCUGUAGCAGAAAGAGCAUCAAAGCCAUCCUCUGGACUCUACACAAGGGUCUCACUCUGUCACCCAGGUUGGAGUAAAGUGGUAUGAUCAUGGCUCACUGCAGCCUCGAACUCCUGGGCUCAAGCAAUCCUCCUGCCUCAGCCUCCUGAGUAGCUGGGACUACAGCCUUUGUCCUAUGUCUGGAGACUUCUUGGAAGCUGGAGCACACAAAUAGCUACAGCAAACUUGAGGAAUGGGCAUGAAUAGACUGGCUUCGGGGAACCUGCCAGCUUGGCCGUGUGGCCAAGGUAAUAGGCAAGCCAAGGCAGAGCUAGAGCUCAGAGCUGGAGGGGAAAUUAAAGCAGCAAAUGUAGAAACAUUAAGCCUGAAGAGGCGACGACGUUGAAUUCUAAAAUGCAGGCCAAAGCUCAGACUGCAAGCUGUCUGGCUGCUCCGGGUGUGCCCAGAAGUCAAAGUCCAGCAGGGGCAAAGGUGGAGGUGUGGUCCUGCACGUGGGGUGUUGGGGGGAUGUGGAAGAGGAGGUGCUUUAAGAUCCAGAGAUUCCAGCUGCCCUGGUGCACCCUUGGAAGAAUAAAAGGCUAGGAACUGGACAAGUCAGGCUCGAGUCCAAGCUGCCUGAGGAAUCGGGGAAAGAAUGGAGCUCAGAGUGGGAGGUCAGGGCAGUAUUUAAAAAUCCAGGAUAGCAGCAAAGCUGGCGGUGGCCCCUGACUCUGGUAAGGGCAGCCUGCAGCACCAUGCCAAGGGGGGCCUGACUGAUCAUGCCCUGCAUUUGCAAACAAGGAUUAGUAGGGUAUGAGUAGGAUUCUGCUGGUGCCUGGGAAGGCAGUGCCAUCUACAACUUUACAAAGUUUUAACAAAGGCCUGAAGGACACAACCUUCCCCAAAGUCCUGACGUCGCUGUUUGCUGGCAACAAAUAGAGUCAAAAGAAGAGAGGCACAGAAUGUGCCAGGGGUGUGCUGCGUACAGCCCCGAUGACCACAAGGCCUUCUUGGGUCAAGUUCUGCCAUCUCUGGUUAAGAUGGGCUCACCCUCUAGGACCCUGAUUGAGUCCUCGGACCACCAAGAGUGCCCCACCAAGAGCCUCCCUCUUCUGGUGACUCGUGCCUGCUUCCCGUGGAGAGCUCCAGAAGGGAGGAAACUGUGAGGAGGUGGAGAACGUGGCAGGGAUCCUAACUUUCUUACUGAAGGAAGUUCUUCACAAGUACCCAUCUGCCUUCAGGGAAGAAAACAUAACUCAUUUUGGUCUUUCAAAUUCAGUUCUCAAAACCAAAUCCUGUUGUCAGCAAUCUGUGUCCCAACGCCUUCUUCAGCAACAGCAUUUUCCCUGUGGAAUUAGUUUCCAAUGUUCUUUCUUAAAUAAACCACUGAAGAUUAAAAGGAAUCCAGAUACCCACCA